RNAcentral lists this ribosomal RNA (442 nucleotides) under uncultured soil bacterium. RNAcentral's name for it is "bacterial SSU rRNA". It matches the Rfam family "Bacterial small subunit ribosomal RNA", at positions 26 to 496 of the family's 1533-position model. The record is from RNAcentral.
AGAACGAACGCUGGCGGUAUGCCUAACACAUGCAAGUCGAACGAGACCUUCGGGUCUAGUGGCGCACGGGUGCGUAACGCGUGGGAAUCUGCCUUUGGGUUCGGAAUAACAGUUGGAAACGACUGCUAAUACCGGAUGAUGACGUAAGUCCAAAGAUUUAUCGCCCAGGGAUGAGCCCGCGUAGGAUUAGCUAGUUGGUGAGGUAAAAGCUCACCAAGGCGACGACCCUUAGCUGGUCUGAGAGGAUGAUCAGCCACACUGGGACUGAGACACGGCCCAGACCUCCGUACGGGAGGCAGCGAGUGGGGAAUAGUUGGACAAGUGGGCGCGAAGCCUGACUCCAGCAAUCGACCGCGUGAGUGAUGGAACGGUCCGUUAGGUAGUAAGUCCUUACGUUUACCGGGAUAGAUAAGUGACGAGUACGGAGAACGUAACGCCCCGG